Armigeres subalbatus is the source of this 1020-nucleotide long non-coding RNA. RefSeq lists it as uncharacterized. The transcript has 3 exons. The record is from RefSeq and is a predicted model, not a curated record. Lineage: Eukaryota; Metazoa; Arthropoda; Insecta; Diptera; Culicidae.
GGAAGAGGCAGGAGUGAUCGAAUUUUAAGUGUCGCGCCGUGAUGUGUGUUUAAAGUUGAGUCAGCUAAGGAAAAGUGCCAAGUUCCGUAUAGCUACUAGUUUCGUGCGUGCGUUUUAGUAUUGUGCAGGUUUGUGGCAUACUGCGAAACCCCACACAUCGCACCCCAAAGCCAACGAUCGCUUCUGACCCCACUGUCAGCUACGAGGGUUUCCCGGAAGUACGUCGACCGGAAGAGGGCUUGCGUACGUUUCAUCGCGCCCUAGGCAGAGGUUGCAGUCAUCCGAGUUCAUCGUCAAAUUGCGCACUGUCGGUAGUUCAUCGACGCCGUCGCGUGAAGCCCACAGACCGGAGGGAAUAUCAUCUGCGUCAACGUCAGCGACGCGAGCUUCGAUCAACGGUGCUCAUCGAAUGAACGACCGUUUGAUUUUCGAAUUCCCUCCACCAAAAGCGUACGCAAAGCAAACCGUAAGUAAUCAUGCAUGAUUAAGUAAGUCCAUGCGCAUGGCUCAGUUCCCGCCGCUACCGAAGAACUAGCAGUAAGUAGCGUGCCAAUCGAAACUUUCACGUGGCUGUCCUUAGUCCCCGCGCUUGCGCUGACAGCCACGCUUCUGAGCACACACACCUAAACCGACACGGAAUGAACACACUGCACGCAUAGAACUCAACACACGCUCCGAAUGAAGACAGAGGUUAGAUAGAGAAAGAGAGAGUAAGGGAAAGCAAACAGUAGGCCUAGGCAGAGAGGAGAAUGGAAACAUGAAGAGAAAUAUAUGUAUGUGAAAAUGAAUCUGUUCUGAACAUUUGUAGUGAUAUGUUGUUUUGUUAAUGCUGGUAGCAUAAAUGCAGGCGAACCGUCGUUCGUAAAAGUCUAUCCCGAAUGCAAUGCGAGAAUAAAGUUGGUUAAAGUUUAGCAUGUUAAUCGGUCGUUAAUUUAUUUUUAUUAUUUAUUAUAUUUUGCUGGGGCGGUUCCCCGAAACAACCACGAUAACUCCCUAUUCUUUUAUAGCAGGAUUCGCAGG